AUUGAACGCUGGCGGCAUGCUUUACACAUGCAAGUCGAACGGUAACAGGCCGCAAGGUGCUGACGAGUGGCGAGCGGGUGAGUAAUGCAUCGGAACGUGCCCAGUCGUGGGGGAUAACUACUCGAAAGAGUAGCUAAUACCGCAUACGAUCUAUGGAUGAAAGCGGGGGACCGUAAGGCCUCGCGCGAUUGGAGCGGCCGAUGUCAGAUUAGGUAGUUGGUGGGGUAAAGGCUCACCAAGCCAACGAUCUGUAGCUGGUCUGAGAGGACGACCAGCCACACUGGGACUGAGACACGGCCCAGACUCCUACGGGAGGCAGCAGUGGGGAAUUUUGGACAAUGGGCGCAAGCCUGAUCCAGCAAUGCCACGUGCAGGAAGAAGGCCUUCGGGUUGUAAACUGCUUUAGUACGGAACGAAACGGCUCUGGUUAAUACCCGGGGCUAAUGACGGUACCGUAAGAAUAAGCACCGGCUAACUACGUG
Molecule: ribosomal RNA, 482 nt
Filed under: uncultured bacterium
Lineage: Bacteria
Description: partial 16S ribosomal RNA
Rfam family: Bacterial small subunit ribosomal RNA
Source: RNAcentral